This 234-nucleotide long non-coding RNA is filed under the name Phoenix dactylifera (date palm). RNAcentral's name for it is "long non-coding RNA (PDAC_LNC010458)". The record is from RNAcentral. Lineage: Eukaryota; Viridiplantae; Streptophyta; Magnoliopsida; Arecales; Arecaceae.
UUGUGUACCACUGAGAGUCGACUCUCGCUUUCUUUGGAGUCGACCUGCCAACCAUCGGAGUCGACUCGCGUUCCACAGGAGUCGACUCGAAUCUCAGGGUCGAAAUAACGCUCUCUGACUUUUCUGUCUGUAGCUUCUUGGAGUCGACUCAUAUUACUCCGGAGUCGACUCGGUAAGCAUCGGAGUCGACUCGCGCACUUCAGGAGUCGACUCGCUGACAGGUUUUAAGUUGAU